ACUCCUACGGGAGGCAGCAGUGGGGAAUAUUGCACAAUGGGCGCAAGCCUGAUGCAGCAACGCCGCGUGAGUGAUGAAGGCCUCGGUCGUAAAGCUCUGUCCUCAAGGAAGAAUAAAUGACGGUACUUGAGGAGGAAGCCCGGCUAACUACGUGCCAGCAGCCGCGGUAAUACGUAGGGGGCGAAGCGUUAUCCGGAAUCACUGGGCGUAAAGGGGUGCGUAGGCGGUUUUCAAGUCAGAAGUGAAAGGCUAUGGCUCAACCAUAGUAAGCUUUUGAAACUGUUAAACUUGAGUGCAGGAGAGGAAAGUGGAAUUCCUAGUGUAGAGGUGAAAUUCGUAGAUAUUAGGAGGAACACCAGUGGCGAAGGCGACUUUCUGGACUGUAACUGACGCUGAGGCACGAAAGCGUGGGGAGCGAACAGGAUUAGAUACCCUGGUAGCACAGAG
Molecule: ribosomal RNA, 447 nt
Filed under: uncultured bacterium
Lineage: Bacteria
Description: bacterial SSU rRNA
Rfam family: Bacterial small subunit ribosomal RNA
Source: RNAcentral